This is a long non-coding RNA of Dermacentor andersoni, 2350 nucleotides long. RefSeq lists it as uncharacterized. The record is from RefSeq and is a predicted model, not a curated record. Lineage: Eukaryota; Metazoa; Arthropoda; Arachnida; Ixodida; Ixodidae.
AACACGGAGGAAGGAAACUAAGGAGAGGCCCUGACGUCACUCUUUGUGAAGCAAAAGUGAAGCCGGAAGUUGGCGUUGCUCAUGGCGAUGCUCCGCCUUUUGUGCCACCCUCCUCUCUUGUUUACAUCUUUCGCGAAACCACGCCGCGCUGCGCGUGGUUUCGCACGCGGAGCGCGCGCGCUCGCGCAACAUGCGGCAGAGCACGGUGCAGGUAACACAGCGCAACAAGACACGGUGACUAACGCAAACCCGCCCACACAGCGCCUUUGCCACGGCACGAUACCUACCAGAGCAACACGUGUGCGCGCUCAAAAAAUCAGAACAACGCCGCCAUUGUGGCCCAAAAGGCGUGGCCAUGCAGCAAAAAAAAUAAAAAAGCAGCAAAAGAAAUGAGAACCUAUACGUCAUUUCCGCCACACUUUUCUCCUAGCGCGCGGAGGGGGUAGGGCCUCUCCUUAGUUUCCUUCCUCCGUGAGUGGGAACCUCUAGGGCGCCGUCCUGUUGCUACUGGUCAAUGUGGCCAGCGCAAUUACUAUCGAAAGCGCUGAAAACAAAUACAGGUCACCUUAUGCUUUGUCAUCUAAAAACGCAUACCUGAAAGCGAUCGCUAAGUCCGUGACUUAUGUAAAUAACGAUGUACGCAUUCAUGCAAUAAAGGAUGACGCGAAUUUCGGUUUCGAAUCUGUUUUUUGGAUGCGUAGUAGUUUUAGGUUUGACAUGUGAUCGCGCGUCGACAUCGGACGCUAUGGCACACUCGUGCCUUAUGUGCCACCGAAGCCCCGAAGUGCUCUGGCAUAUACCUUCACAUGUUUCCCUUCAGUAGGAAAUCGCUGGACAGGCGGACCAGCGCACCGGAAUUGUACUGGCCAAGCCACAAGCAACUCAAAGAAUCUGUUUAAUUGCUGCACUUUGAACAAUCAUGCUUCUACAAAGGCCACAGCAGAAAAACAGCCUGAUGCCGAGUAUUUCUGUGCCACGAAGUAAUCAAGAGGCGAGUGCCUAAUGCGGACGAAAUCGACUGCAUCGAGACUUAGAACGACAGAAAGCUGAGCUAGUUGAUAUACAAUGGCAAGCCCUUCCGUGUGUUCCAAAGGUAAAAUUUAAGCUCUAAAUUAAAGAAGACAUUUCUAGUCAGAGACAAGCAAAAAUGGUGAAUGCAGAGUAUCAGAAGCCCAAGGUACAAAAAUUAUGAGAAGUGUCGAAUGAUUUUAAGGAAAGAGUCUUAUUUGAAACUGCAAGACUCUUUAGUGGAGGUCAAGCAAGUCAAUGUAGGUAGAAUACUGUGCAAAAUUAUGCGAGUGAGGGGAUGUCAAACAAUGGGUCAGGAAAUGCGUUGGUUUUCUGCAAAACAAAAGCUGAUUGCCAUUACAUAAGUCACUUUAGCAUCAUGAGACUGCUGCUUGAUAAAUUCGGAAAUAAACCAAACAACAAGACACGCAAAAAUAAAAAACAAUUUAAUGGUGCUCUCCCCACACUGGGAUAAAUAAAAACACAUCACAUCUAAUGUGGACAUAUCAGACGCCUUGUGAAAUACUAAAGGAAAAAUUCACUUUCGAGCUAUGGCACUUGCCGCAUAGAUGUGGGGGGCCUUGCACUAAUAGUGAUAGUUACCACUGCAUUUAGAAAUUGAAAGCAUUCAUGCAGACAAGGAUGAUUCUUUAUAUUUUUGGCUACCACUUCAAAUGCCUCCACCAAGUGUUACAAUGCUGCACGCAGCCAUACUAAGGAUGUCGCAGCAACACCUGCAGGUAAAAAGCAGAAGCAGUCAAAGUGCUGGUGUAUUCUGCACACUAGCUUUGAAAACUUUUGGGCAAGAACAGUGCAAGAAGCAGACAUAACAACUGCAUUUAUUUCCAUAAUUCCCCAUUUGAAUGGCAUUUUCUUUUUGCUUAAACAAUGCCUACGCCUAGGCACAGCAGCUCCCUCAUACAGACUCCGCAAGCCAAGAGGCCGUGGAGGCAAAUGCAGGCAGCCAGCACACCUCGAACAGCCACCUUGACUGCAGGUGUGUCACCCUAGUCGCCAAGGAAACAUUUGAGGGAAAGCGACAGGCAAUGUGAACAGCCACUUCUCCAUGCAAACGAUACUCUUUCUCUCGGAUGACUCCUACGCCUCGCCACGCCAGCACACUUGUGCACAAAGAUGCCGCGGAGGCACGUGCAGGUCAGAGGCAAGAAGCAGUGGAACUGGUGUCGACAUUCACCCAAUUUCUUUUUCUUACACUGAGGCAGCCAGCACACCUCGAACAGCCACCUUGACUGCGGGUGUGUCAGUAGAUUCCUGUUGCACAUAUGCUCAUAAUAAGCUUCAGUAAACUUGAACUUGACAAUAAACUUGAUGGCAAAUGGUA